CCUACGGGUGGCAGCAGUGAGGAAUAUUGGUCAAUGGGCGCGAGCCUGAACCAGCCAAGUCGCGUGAGGGAAGACGGUCCUAUGGAUUGUCAACCUCUUUUGUCGGGGAGCAAAAGACACCACGCGUGGCGUUCCGAGAGUACCCGAAGAAAAAGCAUCGGCAAACUCCGUGCCAGCAGCCGCGGUAAUACGGAGGAUGCGAGCGUUAUCCGGAUUUAUUGGGGUUAAAUGGUGCGCAGGCGGAAGAAAAAGUCAGCGGGAAAAUUGAGAGGCUCAACCUCGUCGAGCCGUUGAAACUGGUUUUCUUGAGUGAGCGAGAAGUAUGCGGAAUGCGUGGUGUAGCGGUGAAAUGCAUAGAUAUCACGCAGAACUCCGAUUGCGAAGGCAGCAUACCGGCGCUCAACUGACGCUCAUGCACGAAAGUGUGGGUAUCGAACAGGAUUAGAUACCCCUGUAGGC
This 459-nucleotide ribosomal RNA is filed under the name uncultured bacterium. RNAcentral describes it as "partial 16S ribosomal RNA". It matches the Rfam family "Bacterial small subunit ribosomal RNA", at positions 338 to 795 of the family's 1533-position model. The record is from RNAcentral.